RNAcentral lists this unclassified non-coding RNA (157 nucleotides) under uncultured Helotiales. RNAcentral describes it as "sequence contains ITS1". Lineage: Eukaryota; Fungi; Ascomycota; Leotiomycetes; Helotiales. The record is from RNAcentral.
CAGAGUUCAUGCCCUCACGGGUAGGUCUCCCACCCUUGAAUAUUAUACCUUUGUUGCUUUGGCGGGCCGCUUCGGCUACCGGCUUCGGCUGGUGAGUGCCCGCCAGAGGACCCCAAACUCUGUUUAUUAGUGUCGUCUGAGUACUAUAUAAUAGUUA